AUUCUUCACUUUGCCUGCAGAUGGUCCCCCGUGGCAGGAGGACUUUGUCCCUGUUCUUUGACCCGGACGCCGGCUUGAAUCCCCCAUGGGAGGUCUAGAAGGAAACAGCCUGAUUCCGGAGCCGAGGCAGGCGCUGAACCCUGUAGCACUGCACACGCAGCCACCGCCUCGACUAAUGGAUGCGUGGGCAAGGGGCUGCUCCCUGAAUGGCUGCAAUCAGGGAAUCGGAGAAAGGCCAGCUUUAUUUGUGACACGUUGGGCGGGGUGGGCUCUGGGAAGCGCCGUAACCCUUCUCGACUCAGGGCCUCUCGCGUGGCCGCUUAGGAGGGACUUGGCCCCGCAGCCGCCUCUCCCUGUUGCCCAGAGGUUGUCCCAGGCACCCAGAGCCCCUCGAACCUUGCCCUUCGGCCUCCAGCCUCUCACCGCAGGUCAGGGCU
This 437-nucleotide long non-coding RNA is filed under the name Homo sapiens (human). RNAcentral describes it as "non-protein coding lnc-KIFC3-2:2". The record is from RNAcentral. Lineage: Eukaryota; Metazoa; Chordata; Mammalia; Primates; Hominidae.